Molecule: ribosomal RNA, 1402 nt
Filed under: Plasmodium berghei
Lineage: Eukaryota; Apicomplexa; Aconoidasida; Haemosporida; Plasmodiidae
Description: SSU rRNA
Rfam family: Eukaryotic small subunit ribosomal RNA
Source: RNAcentral
CAAUAGCGUAUAUUAAAAUUGUUGCAGUUAAAACGCUCGUAGUUGAACUUCAAGGGUAUUAUUAUUUUAAGUAACUCACUUGGCGAGAAUCUUGGCUCCGCCUCGAUAUCUUCAUGCCUUGUUGUAGUUCUUUUAAUUACAGACCCUUUGAGAGCCCAAUGAUUUAUCACUGGGUUUCUCGUUACUUUGAGUAAAUUAGAGUGUUCAAAGCAAACAGUUAAAGCGUUUUCGCGUUUGAAUACUAUAGCAUGGAAUAACAAAAUUGAACAAGUCAAAUUUUUUGUUCUUUUUUCUUAUUUUGGCUUAGUUACGAUUAAUAGGAGUAGCUUGGGGGCAUUUGUAUUCAGAUGUCAGAGGUGAAAUUCUUAGAUUUUCUGGAGACAAACAACUGCGAAAGCAUUUGCCUAAAAUACUUCCAUUAAUCAAGAACGAAAGUUAAGGGAGUGAAGACGAUCAGAUACCGUCGUAAUCUUAACCAUAAACUAUGCCGACUAGGUUUUGGAUGAAAAUUUUUAAAUAAGAUUUCCCUUCGGGGAUUUCUUAGAUUGCUUCCUUCAGUACCUUAUGAGAAAUCAAAGUCUUUGGGUUCUGGGGCGAGUAUUCGCGCAAGCGAGAAAGUUAAAAGAAUUGACGGAAGGGCACCACCAGGCGUGGAGCUUGCGGCUUAAUUUGACUCAACACGGGGAAACUCACUAGUUUAAGACAAGAGUAGGAUUGACAGAUUAAUAGCUCUUUCUUGAUUUCUUGGAUGGUGAUGCAUGGCCGUUUUUAGUUCGUGAAUAUGAUUUGUCUGGUUAAUUCCGAUAACGAACGAGAUCUUAACCUGCUAAUUAGCGGCGAGUACUCUAUAUCCUUUAUUGGGAGAUUGGUUUUGACGUUUAUGUGGGCAUAUUGAUUAAUCAAUUGGUUUACCUUUUGCUCUUUUUCAUUAUGAUUCUUGCGUUUACGACAUGCCUUUUUUCUAGUAAGGAUGUAUUCGCUUUAUUUAAUGCUUCUUAGAGGAACGAUGUGUGUCUAACACAAGGAAGUUUAAGGCAACAACAGGUCUGUGAUGUCCUUAGAUAUACUAGGCUGCACGCGUGCUACACUGAUAUGUAAAACGAGUGCUUAAAUUUAUAUCUGUGCUUAGGUGUUAAAGCCUAUGUUUCAGUAUAUAUUUUUCCUCCACUGAAAAGUGUAGGUAAUCUUUAUCAAUACAUAUCGUGAUGGGGAUAGAUUAUUGCAAUUAUUAAUCUUGAACGAGGAAUGCCUAGUAAGCAUGAUUCAUCAGAUUGUGCUGACUACGUCCCUGCCCUUUGUACACACCGCCCGUCGCUCCUACCGAUUGAAAGAUAGCGGCGAGUACUCUAUAUCCUUUAUUGGGAGAUUGGUUUUGACGUUUAUGUGGGCAUAUUGAUUAAUC